CAGGCUUAACACAUGCAAGUCGAGGGGCAGCAUGGUCUUAGCUUGCUAAGGCCGAUGGCGACCGGCGCACGGGUGAGUAACACGUAUCCAACCUGCCGUCUACUCUUGGACAGCCUUCUGAAAGGAAGAUUAAUACAAGAUGGCAUCAUGAGUCCGCAUGUUCACAUGAUUAAAGGUAUUCCGGUAGACGAUGGGGAUGCGUUCCAUUAGAUAGUAGGCGGGGUAACGGCCCACCUAGUCUUCGAUGGAUAGGGGUUCUGAGAGGAAGGUCCCCCACAUUGGAACUGAGACACGGUCCAAACUCCUACGGGAGGCAGCAGUGAGGAAUAUUGGUCAAUGGGCGAGAGCCUGAACCAGCCAAGUAGCGUGAAGGAUGACUGCCCUAUGGGUUGUAAACUUCUUUUAUAAAGGAAUAAAGUCGGGUAUGGAUACCCGUUUGCAUGUACUUUAUGAAUAAGGAUCGGCUAACUCCGUGCCAGCAGCCGCGGUAAUACGGAGGAUCCGAGCGUUAUCCGGAUUUAUUGGGUUUAAAGGGAGCGUAGAUGGAUGUUUAAGUCAGUUGUGAAAGUUUGCGGCUCAACCGUAAAAUUGCAGUUGAUACUGGAUAUCUUGAGUGCAGUUGAGGCAGGCGGAAUUCGUGGUGUAGCGGUGAAAUGCUUAGAUAUCACGAAGAACUCCGAUUGCGAAGGCAGCCUGCUAAGCUGCAACUGACAUUGAGGCUCGAAAGUGUGGGUAUCAAACAGGAUUAGAUACCCUGGUAGUCCACACGGUAAACGAUGAAUACUCGCUGUUUGCGAUAUACGGCAAGCGGCCAAGCGAAAGCGUUAAGUAUUCCACCUGGGGAGUACGCCGGCAACGGUGAAACUCAAAGGAAUUGACGGGGGCCCGCACAAGCGGAGGAACAUGUGGUUUAAUUCGAUGAUACGCGAGGAACCUUACCCGGGCUUAAAUUGCAGAUGAAUUACGGUGAAAGCCGUAAGCCGCAAGGCAUCUGUGAAGGUGCUGCAUGGUUGUCGUCAGCUCGUGCCGUGAGGUGUCGGCUUAAGUGCCAUAACGAGCGCAACCCUUGUUGUCAGUUACUAACAGGUUCUGCUGAGGACUCUGACAAGACUGCCAUCGUAAGAUGUGAGGAAGGUGGGGAUGACGUCAAAUCAGCACGGCCCUUACGUCCGGGGCUACACACGUGUUACAAUGGGGGGUACAGAGGGCCGCUACCACGCGAGUGGAUGCCAAUCCCAAAAACCUCUCUCAGUUCGGACUGGAGUCUGCAACCCGACUCCACGAAGCUGGAUUCGCUAGUAAUCGCGCAUCAGCCACGGCGCGGUGAAUACGUUCCCGGGCCUUGUACACACCGCCCGUCAAGCCAUGGGAGCCGGGGGUACCUGAAGUGCGUAACCGCGAGGAGCGCCCUAGGGUAAAACUGGUGACUGGGGC
Molecule: ribosomal RNA, 1434 nt
Filed under: uncultured organism
Description: 16S ribosomal RNA
Rfam family: Bacterial small subunit ribosomal RNA
Source: RNAcentral